CCUACGGGUGGCAGCAGUGAGGAAUAUUGGUCAAUGGACGAGAGUCUGAACCAGCCAAGCAGCGUGAAGGAUGACUGCCCUAUGGGUUGUAAACUUCUUUUAUAUGGGAAUAAAAUGUUCCACGUGUGGGCUUUUGUAUGUACCAUAUGAAUAAGGAUCGGCUAACUCCGUGCCAGCAGCCGCGGUAAUACGGAGGAUCCGAGCGUUAUCCGGAUUUAUUGGGUUUAAAGGGAGCGUAGGUGGAUUGUUAAGUCAGUUGUGAAAGUUUGCGGCUCAACCGUAAAAUUGCAGUUGAAACUGGCAGUCUUGAGUGCAGUAGAGGUGGGCGGAAUUCGUGGUGUAGCGGUGAAAUGCUUAGAUAUCGCGAAGAACUCCGAUUGCGAAGGCAGCUCACUGGACUGCAACUGACACUGAGGCUCGAAAGUGUGGGUAUCAAACAGGAUUAGAUACCCCUGUAGUC
RNAcentral lists this ribosomal RNA (460 nucleotides) under uncultured bacterium. RNAcentral describes it as "partial 16S ribosomal RNA". It matches the Rfam family "Bacterial small subunit ribosomal RNA", at positions 338 to 795 of the family's 1533-position model. The record is from RNAcentral.